RNAcentral lists this transfer RNA (59 nucleotides) under Salmonella enterica. RNAcentral describes it as "tRNA-Pro". It matches the Rfam family "tRNA", at positions 8 to 63 of the family's 71-position model. From Rfam's summary of the family: Transfer RNA (tRNA) molecules are approximately 80 nucleotides in length. RNAcentral also lists the same sequence under 1 other name. Lineage: Bacteria; Pseudomonadati; Pseudomonadota; Gammaproteobacteria; Enterobacterales; Enterobacteriaceae. The record is from RNAcentral.
UAGCGCAGCUUGGUAGCGCAACUGGUUUGGGACCAGUGGGUCGGAGGUUCGAAUCCUCU